CGGGACGGGUGAGUAAUGUCUGGGAAACUGCCUGAUGGAGGGGGAUAACUACUGGAAACGGUAGCUAAUACCGCAUAACGUCGCAAGACCAAAGAGGGGGACCUUCGGGCCUCUUGCCAUCGGAUGUGCCCAGAUGGGAUUAGCUAGUAGGUGGGGUAACGGCUCACCUAGGCGACGAUCCCUAGCUGGUCUGAGAGGAUGACCUGCCACACUGGAACUGAGACACGGUCCAG
This 233-nucleotide ribosomal RNA is filed under the name uncultured bacterium. RNAcentral describes it as "partial 16S ribosomal RNA". It matches the Rfam family "Bacterial small subunit ribosomal RNA", at positions 100 to 334 of the family's 1533-position model. The record is from RNAcentral.